AUUGAACGCUGGCGGCAUGCCUUACACAUGCAAGUCGAACGGCAGCACGGGGGCAACCCUGGUGGCGAGUGGCGAACGGGUGAGUAAUACAUCGGAACGUGCCCGGUAGUGGGGGAUAGCUCGGCGAAAGCCGGAUUAAUACCGCAUACGACCUACGGGUGAAAGCGGGGGACCGCAGGGCCUCGCGCCAUUGGAGCGGCCGAUGUCAGAUUAGGUUGUUGGUGGGGUAAAGCCCACCAAGCCGACGAUCUGUAGCUGGUCUGAGAGGACGACCAGCCACACUGGGACUGAGACACGGCCCAGACUCCUACGGGAGGCAGCAGUGGGGAAUUUUGGACAAUGGGCGCAAGCCUGAUCCAGCCAUGCCGCGUGCGGGAAGAAGGCCU
RNAcentral lists this ribosomal RNA (386 nucleotides) under uncultured bacterium. RNAcentral's name for it is "bacterial SSU rRNA". It matches the Rfam family "Bacterial small subunit ribosomal RNA", at positions 28 to 417 of the family's 1533-position model. The record is from RNAcentral.